AAACCAUGCUACUCUAGUAUUUGUCGUCUCGCUCACAGUCCUCAACUCUGCUUCUCUGCAAGUACAACCAACAGGAGGCAGAAAAAUAUUAACUAAAAGAAAGUGUUUAGGAGUUCAGUGCAAUCAGAUAGACUAGACCCAUUAAUAAAUAACAAUUUACCUGAUUUUGAGAUAGACUAGAUUCUCAUGGAUGGCCUCCACUGCUCCCUCAAGUUUUUUCAGCUCAAGUUCAACACCUUUACUGUGGAAAGUUUGUUUCG
This 260-nucleotide unclassified non-coding RNA is filed under the name Hevea brasiliensis (rubber tree). The record is from RNAcentral. Lineage: Eukaryota; Viridiplantae; Streptophyta; Magnoliopsida; Malpighiales; Euphorbiaceae.